Molecule: long non-coding RNA, 1055 nt
Organism: Astatotilapia calliptera (eastern happy)
Lineage: Eukaryota; Metazoa; Chordata; Actinopteri; Cichliformes; Cichlidae
Source: Ensembl
GUUGACCAUGUCCUUGUCCAUGAGGGAGGCUGGGCAACGAGUACAACCAAAUUUGAGUCGCUUCACUGUUGCCUCCAUCAUCAGAACCUUCAGGGAGGAAAACAGGACACAGAGACGACCACCUGGUGGAGGCAGGUUAAGGCUUUUGUCGGAGGAGCAAGAGAGGGAACUUGUAAACAUGGUAAUUGCAAAUAAUGUAAUCCGCCUGCAAGAGAUUCAAAGGAGAGUGAUUGAGGAUGAUCAUCUUUUUCGAGGCAUAAAUGCCAUCAGCCUCUCCACAAUUGACCGCAUCCUCCGAAAGAAUCAAUUCCGGAUGAAACAGGCAUACCGAGUCCCUUUCGAACGAAACUCUGACAGAGUGAAAAACCAACGUGUGGAAUAUGUUCAGAGAAUCUUUGAGAUUGAAGGACGGCCUGUUCCCCAUGAAAUAAUCUUUGUGGAUGAGGCAGGUUUUAACCUGACCAAAAGAAGGAAAAGGGGGAGGAACAUAAUUGGCCAUCGGGCUAUUGUAAAUGUCCCUGGUCAGCGUGGAGGGAAUGUCACUAUGUGCGCAGCCAUCAGCCAACGAGGGGUACUCCACCGCCAUGCCGUACUAGGACCCUAUAACACUAUGCUUCUCCUUGCUUUUCUUGAUGGUUUAAGACAACAUAUGUUCCAGCUGGACUACAGGGAACCAGCACAGCCAGAGCAGCCUCACUACGUUGUUGUGUGGGAUAACGUCAGCUUCCAUCGCGCUGCUCUGGUUCGUGACUGGUUUACCAAUAACCCAAAGUUUUCUAAUAUCUUUCUGCCUGCAUACUCUCCCUUUCUAAACCCGAUAGAGGAGUUAUUUUCGGCAUGGCGGUGGAAAGUGUAUGACCGAGAACCUUAUGUCCGUGUUCACCUCCUUCAGGCCAUGGAAGAAGCCUGCCUAGACAUAUCAGUAGAUGCAUGCCAGGGGUGGAUCAGGCAUGCAAGAGGAUUUUACCCCCGCUGCCUGGCUAGGGCCAAUAUAGCCUGUGAUGUGGAUGAGAUUCUCUGGCCUGACCCAGACCAAAGACAAGAUGCUGAGGUGG